Molecule: transfer RNA, 73 nt
Filed under: Bos taurus (domestic cattle)
Lineage: Eukaryota; Metazoa; Chordata; Mammalia; Artiodactyla; Bovidae
Also listed under: 3 other names
Rfam family: tRNA
About the family: Transfer RNA (tRNA) molecules are approximately 80 nucleotides in length. Their secondary structure includes four short double-helical elements and three loops (D, anti-codon, and T loops).
Source: Rfam by way of RNAcentral
UCCCUGGUGGUCCAAUCGAUAAAACUCUGCGCUCCCAAUGCAGGGGGCCCAGGUUCAAUCCUUGACUGGGGAA